AACGAACGCUGGCGGCAUGCCUAACACAUGCAAGUCGAACGAGACCUUCGGGUCUAGUGGCGCACGGGUGCGUAACGCGUGGGAACCUGCCUUUAGGUUCGGAAUAACUCAGAGAAAUUUGAGCUAAUACCGGAUAAUGUCUUCGGACCAAAGAUUUAUCGCCUUUAGAUGGGCCCGCGUAAGAUUAGCUAGUUGGUGGGGUAAAGGCCUACCAAGGCGACGAUCUUUAGCUGGUCUGAGAGGAAUGAUCAGCCACACUGGGACUGAGACACGGCCCAGACUCCUACGGGAGGCAGCAGUGGGGAAUAUUGGACAAUGGGCGAAAGCCUGAUCCAGCAAUGCCGCGUGAGUGAUGAAGGCCUUAGGGUUGUAAAAGGACUCUUUUUACCCGAAAUAGAUAAUAGACAGUAUCGGGAGAAUAAGACUCCGGCUAACUCCGUGCCAGCAGCCGCGGUAAU
This 458-nucleotide ribosomal RNA is filed under the name uncultured bacterium. RNAcentral describes it as "bacterial SSU rRNA". It matches the Rfam family "Bacterial small subunit ribosomal RNA", at positions 29 to 524 of the family's 1533-position model. The record is from RNAcentral.